AUAUAGCCCCGAUUGAGCGGUUAUCCUUUUUCUUGCUUCUUUAGCAAGGAAAAGAUAAGAGCGAAAGCGGGACAUCAC
This 78-nucleotide small RNA is filed under the name Flavobacterium sp. S87F.05.LMB.W.Kidney.N. Its description in RNAcentral is "Flavo-1 RNA". It matches the Rfam family "Flavo-1 RNA". The record is from RNAcentral. Lineage: Bacteria; Pseudomonadati; Bacteroidota; Flavobacteriia; Flavobacteriales; Flavobacteriaceae.